GUGAUCCGGCAGAGGAUGGACAUGCGGCGCAUUAGCUAGUCGGCGGGGUAACGGCCCACCGAGGCUACGAUGCGUAGGGGUUCUGAGAGGAAGGUCCCCCACACUGGUACUGAGACACGGACCAGACUCCUACGGGAGGCAGCAGUGAGGAAUAUUGGUCAAUGGGCGGAAGCCUGAACCAGCCAAGUCGCGUGAGGGAAGACGGUCCUAUGGAUUGUAAACCUCUUUUGCAGGGGAGCAAGGCGCGGUACGUGUACCGCGAAGGAGAGUACCCUGAGAAAAAGCAUCGGCUAACUCCGUGCCAGCAGCCGCGGUAAUACGGAGGAUGCGAGCGUUAUCCGGAUUUAUUGGGUUUAAAGGGUGCGCAGGCGGACUGUUAAGUCAGCGGUAAAAUGUCGGUGCUCAACACCGGCCGGCCGUUGAAACUGGCAGCCUUGAGUGAGCGAGAAGUAUGCGGAAUGCGUGGUGUAGCGGUGAAAUGCAUAGAUAUCACGCAGAACUCCGAUUGCGAAGGCAGCAUACCGGCGCUCAACUGACGCUCAGGCACGAAAGCGUGGGUAUCGAACAGGCUUAGAUACCCUGGUAGUCCACGCAGUAAACGAUGAAUGCUCACUGUCCGGGCCGUUUAAGGCCUGG
This 636-nucleotide ribosomal RNA is filed under the name uncultured bacterium. RNAcentral describes it as "bacterial SSU rRNA". It matches the Rfam family "Bacterial small subunit ribosomal RNA", at positions 210 to 842 of the family's 1533-position model. The record is from RNAcentral.